RNAcentral lists this unclassified non-coding RNA (380 nucleotides) under Hevea brasiliensis (rubber tree). The record is from RNAcentral. Lineage: Eukaryota; Viridiplantae; Streptophyta; Magnoliopsida; Malpighiales; Euphorbiaceae.
ACAAUGUAGAAGCAGAUGAAUAAUCAUCUGAUCUAGCCUUCGUACAGGAAACAAUAAUAAUAUGUUGGACAAUUAUCAAUUUAUGAAAAGAUGUUUAAAAGGGAAUGUAUUAGAAACCGAUAAACGAUUUUCUUGUCCUUGUAUAGUUUUGAAGCCACCUUUGCAGCGAUAUCCAUGAAUAAAUUAGAAGGACCCACAUCAUUGGAUAGUAAUGGCUAAUAGUAAAUUUGAACAUAAUCAGAGUUGAAUGGAGGAAACCAGCUUUGAUCAGUUUUGAACUAAGGCUUAGUUGAGUUGAGUGGUAUCGCCAUUGGACAUUCCUAAGUUAUUCAUUGAAAAAUGCUACUCACAGAGCAAUCAUCAUGAACACGCCAAAUUGU